This is a non-coding RNA of Podarcis lilfordi (Lilford's wall lizard), 74 nucleotides long. The record is from the annotation of a GenBank genome assembly. NCBI's taxonomy places the organism in Eukaryota, Metazoa, Chordata, Lepidosauria, Squamata, Lacertidae.
GGAUAGCUCAGUUGGUAGAGCAUGGGACACUUAAUCUCAGGGCCGUGUGUCUGAGCCCCACAUUGGGUGGAAUA